GAUUAGAUACCCUGGUAGUCCACGCCGUAAACGAUGUCUACUUGGAGGUUGUGCCCUUGAGGCGUGGCUUCCGGAGCUAACGCGUUAAGUAGACCGCCUGGGGAGUACGGCCGCAAGGUUAAAACUCAAAUGAAUUGACGGGGGCCCGCACAAGCGGUGGAGCAUGUGGUUUAAUUCGAUGCAACGCGAAGAACCUUACCUGGUCUUGACAUCCACGGAAGUUUUCAGAGAUGAGAAUGUGCCUUCGGGAACCGUGAGACAGGUGCUGCAUGGCUGUCGUCAGCUCGUGUUGUGAAAUGUUGGGUUAAGUCCCGCAACGAGCGCAACCCUUAUCCUUUGUUGCCAGCGGUCCGGCCGGGAACUCAAAGGAGACUGCCAGUGAUAAACUGGAGGAAGGUGGGGAUGACGUCAAGUCAUCAUGGCCCUUACGACCAGGGCUACACACGUGCUACAAUGGCGCAUACAAAGAGAAGCGACCUCGCGAGAGCAAGCGGACCUCAUAAAGUGCGUCGUAGUCCGGAUUGGAGUCUGCAACUCGACUCCAUGAAGUCGGAAUCGCUAGUAAUCGUGGAUCAGAAUGCCACGGUGAAUACGUUCCCGGGCCUUGUACACACCGCCCGUCACACCAUGGGAGUGGGUUGCAAAAGAAGUAGGUAGCUUAACCUUCGGGAGGGCGCUUACCACUUUGUGAUUCAUGACUGGGGUGAAGUCGUAACAAGGUAACCGUAGGGGAACCUGCGGUUGGAUCACCUCCUUACCUGAAAGAAGC
Molecule: ribosomal RNA, 769 nt
Filed under: Salmonella enterica
Lineage: Bacteria; Pseudomonadati; Pseudomonadota; Gammaproteobacteria; Enterobacterales; Enterobacteriaceae
Description: bacterial SSU rRNA
Rfam family: Bacterial small subunit ribosomal RNA
Source: RNAcentral